Molecule: ribosomal RNA, 501 nt
Filed under: uncultured bacterium
Lineage: Bacteria
Description: partial 16S ribosomal RNA
Rfam family: Bacterial small subunit ribosomal RNA
Source: RNAcentral
GAUGAACGCUAGCGGCAGGCUUAAUACAUGCAAGUCGUACGGGAUCCGAGGUAGCAAUACUUUGGUGAGAGUGGCGCACGGGUGCGUAACACGUAUGCAACCUACCUAUAACCGGGACACAACCUCGAGAAAUUGUGGCUAAUAUCCCAUAACACUGCGAAAUGGCAUCAUUUUGCAGUUAAAACGUCGGUGGUUAUAGCUGGGCAUGCGCGACAUUAGCUAGUUGGUGAGGUAACGGCCCACCAAGGCUACGAUGUCUAGGGGUUCUGAGAGGAUUAUCCCCCACACUGGUACUGAGACACGGACCAGACUCCUACGGGAGGCAGCAGUAAGGAAUAUUGGUCAAUGGGCGCAAGCCUGAACCAGCCAUGCCGCGUGAAGGAUGACGGCCCUAUGGGUUGUAAACUUCUUUUGUACGGGAAAAAACCACCGGUCGUGUAUCGGUGCUGAUGGUACCGUAAGAAUAAGCAUCGGCUAACUCCGUGCCAGCCGCCGCAGUAA